Molecule: long non-coding RNA, 957 nt
Organism: Neofelis nebulosa (Clouded leopard)
Lineage: Eukaryota; Metazoa; Chordata; Mammalia; Carnivora; Felidae
Exons: 2
Source: RefSeq, a predicted model, not a curated record
GAUCUGGGAAGUAACUGCGGUCGGCGCCAUGUUAAGUCGGGGCAAAAGGGACGGCGUCACUUGGGGGUUGGGCGCCCGAAGCAAAUUCUCGAAGCCGCGUGGGACGUGCGGGCGGCGUUUAAGUGCUCGCAGAGACACACUCCGCCUGGCUGAGGGGAGAUGAGUGACGAGAUAAAUGGGAACUUUCGGAUGCCGGUUUCCGCCCGUUGGGGAGCGAAGACCGGGAAGUUGGGCAGUGCGCCGGGAGAGCGCGGCCGAGUGACAGCGUCUCCGUGGUUGGGCGGCCGGGGUGCGAGGGGCGGUGCCACCUUCCCGGAGGUGGCGGCCGGCGGCAUUCCCGGGCCCCCGAGGUCGGCUGCCGCCUCGGGAAGAGAACACACGUCAGUACUACCGUCAACAGAAAUCCGAAAGGCCGGGCAACGGCGGCGGGCGCCCCGGGAAGGGAGCCUGAAAAUGCAUCCAGAAAGGUCCAACCUGGAAAAUUGUGGAUAUUCCUCAAAUCUGGCAGACUUGGUCCUGAAUGACAGCACACUUCCUCCACCCCAUGGCAUCCAACCCAAAAAGCAGGGAGGGGCAACUGGGGUGGAGUGAUGGGCCGGAGAAUGAAAGUAAGCACAGUUUCCAAAAGCAAAGUGCUACAGCUGGAAAGCAUGCCUGGAAGAUAAAGCCACAGAACCCAUGAAGAUCUGAGCCAGGGCACCUCAUAUGGAUAAGAAUUUUCCUGCAGCAAUCUUACCCCUAAUGUCAAGGACACUUGAGACAGUCCAAUUCUUUGCUUUGUUCCCCUUAACAUUAAAUCAUGAGCCUUUUCCAUGUUUUGAAAUGUCCACGAAACAUACAUUUUAAGAGCUGCCUAAUAUUCCACUGGAAGGGUGUACAAUAAUUUAACAGUUUCCUUACUGUGUGGCAUUUAGGAUGUUGCCAAAUUGUCAGUGUAAUAAACCCUAUUCCAUCAAA